GUCAUUGGCUUGGGGGUUUUGUUACAAAUUUUGGAACUUCACAGUAUUUUUGUCGUUAUUGUACUAUUCAGAGAAAUGACUUUCACUCAAAUCCAGUCAAGGUUGGCCUUGCUAGAACUCCUACGUCUUACAACAACGCUGCCGAGGCUUGUGAACUGGUUGGUGGUAAUGUUCAAGGUGUGAAGCAUAAAUCUAUAUUCAAUCAACUGAGCUAUUAUCAUGUAUGUGGACCAGGUUUACCACCAUGCCUUGCGCACGACAUUUUUGAAGGUGUCGUGCAAUACGAUCUUCCAUUGUUUAUCAAGUAUUUUAUUACCAAAAAGUGGUUCAGUUUUGAUUACAUCAUAAAUGCUAUGGCAACCUUCCAAUACAGCAGAUUUGAUGGGCCAUCAAAACCGCCAAUUUUACGAAGAAAUAUGGAUAAGUUGGAUGGUAGCACAUCUCAAAAUUGGUGUUUUUUGAGACUUUUUCCACUUUAGAUUAUGAAAUACAUCAUCAAUCCGGAUGACCCUGUUUGGCAGCUUGUUCUUUUGUUGCGGCGAAUUGUUGAAUUCGGAUCUUAUUACGUUUUCAAUAUGCAAUACCCGAAGGAGGCAAAGAAAACGUACGAGUUUGUACAACGAUACUUCGCAGGAAUUGGAGACAAUGCCCCCCGCUCAAAAAAGAAGACUGAUGAAAAUAGACUACACCCAAAAGUUCAGGCCCUACUGGAAAAAUUCCAAUAAUUCAAUAUACCAUCAACAAUGAAAACUUCCACAAACUUUAUACAAAGAAACUUGCACUGCUUUGGACAGAUUACACUUUUUCACUGUUUAAAUUAUAUUUCAGAUGAUAAUGUGACUUAUCCAUUUGACAUAUGAAAAUUUGGAAAUUUCUCAUUUUAAGGUUUUAGCUGUUUUUAUGAAAUUUAGUUUUUUUUUCACUCAUUCUAUUCCUCAGUGUUUCUAUUUUAUGGUUUAUCACUGUUUUUUUUAUACAAUUUUUUUCUUCAGGGUUUAUUACUGUUUUCACCAUUUCUUUCUUCAUGGUUUAUCACUGUUGUACAAUUUCUUUCCGUUUCAUUCGCAUAGUUUCCAAUUUCAUUUUAUUUGUAAAUAAAUUCGGUUUCUUAUAAUA
Molecule: non-coding RNA, 1116 nt
Organism: Styela clava
Lineage: Eukaryota; Metazoa; Chordata; Ascidiacea; Stolidobranchia; Styelidae
Source: RefSeq, a predicted model, not a curated record